This is a long non-coding RNA of Oncorhynchus tshawytscha (Chinook salmon), 3113 nucleotides long. NCBI's taxonomy places the organism in Eukaryota, Metazoa, Chordata, Actinopteri, Salmoniformes, Salmonidae. The record is from Ensembl.
GUGAAUUGAGCAAUACUGGAGUUAAAUUGGAGCGGACGAGAAGGCGACGAUCCAGCCUUUGGGAAAACUCACUCUCGCUUCAGUCAAAUUGGGCACGCUCUACUCCGCUCAUAUACUCUACGAGUUACACAGCAAAUUAGAAAAUCAUUUUACAUCAGUAGUUCUGCAUGACAUGUUAUGUGAUUUGAAUGAGCUAAGUGGUAGGCUAUUAUGUCUUCAAUGCCUUAUCUGAUUAUCAUUUUAUGUACCAAGUUUAAUUGAGAUUUGUUUUCGAUUGUCUUACAGGGUUUCAAAUGGUAUAUUGCUGGUAACCUUUGCAAACGUAAAAAAAAUGUAAAUGUAUCACAUGACAUCUAGUUUCCUUUUUGGGUACUUGAGUUUCGGACAGGUGUCUAAUUAUCUCUGGCCCUCAAGAUUAUUACAAAAAUAGUAGAAUGACUAAGCUGUAAAACUUUAUCCUAAAUAUAAACCAUUAACUUGGUGAAUACCGUUGGGGUUUAAUAGGAUUUCAACAUGAAAUAUCCUUUGUUUUACACAUUUGACAAUGUCAAUAUGGCUUUGUUUUAAAUGUUUUGGCACAAAUGGUGGCAAUUGUGGAAAAAAUCAAUAGUUGGAAGAGUUGCAGAGUUAAUUGAAAUAAUGGCAUUGUUAAAUAGAUUUGAUUGAUUAAUUAGGCUAUUUUCUCUUUGUGCAUAUGGUCUAUCUAAUAGAAACUCAUGGACAUAGAAAGUAAAAAAUAUAUACUAUAUAUGUGUAUAUAUACAGUGCCAGUCAAAAGUUGACACCUAUUCUUUCCAGGGUUUUUAUUUUUACUAUUUUCUACAUUGUAAAAUAAUAGUGAAGGCAAAACUAUGAAGUUACACAUAUGGAAUCAUGUAGUAACCAAAAAAGUGUUGAACAAAUUCAAAUAUAUUUGAGAUUCUUCAAAGUAGCCACCCUUUGCCUUGAUGACAGCUUUGCACACACUUUGCAUGCUCUCCUCUCGAACCGCUUUUCACACACUUGGCAUGCUCUCCUCUCGAGCCUGGCAAUUCAAUGCAAGGUGCCCUCAAAUAUAAUGUAUUUAUAUAGCCCUUCUUACAUCAGCUGAUAUCUCAAAGUGCUGUACAGAAACCCAGCCUAAAACCCCAAACAGCAAGCAAUGCAGGUGUAGAAGCACGGUGGCUAGGAAAAACUCCCUGGAAAGGCCAAAACCUAGGAAGAAACCUAGAGAGGAACCAGGCUAUGAGGGGUGACCAGUCCUCUUCGGGCUGUGCCGGGUGGAGAUUAUAACAGAACAUGGCCAAGAUGUUCAAAUGUCCAUAAAUGACCAGCAUGGUCAAAUAAUAAUAAUCACAGUAGUUGUCAAGGGUGCAGCAAGUCAGCACCUCAGGAGUAAAUGUCAGUUGGCUUUUCAUAGCCGAUCAUUAGGAGUUUCUCUACCGCUCCUGCUGUCUCUAGAGAGUUGAAAACAGCAGGUCUUGUAGCACGUCCGGUGAUCAGGUCAGGGUUCCAUAGCUGCAGGCCGAACAGUUGAAACUGGAGCAGCAGCAUGGCCAGGUGGACUGGGAACAGCAAGGAGUCAUCAUGCCAGGUAGUUCUGAGGCAUGGUCCUCCGAGAGAGAGAAAGAAAGAGAGAAUUAGAGCAUACUUAAAUUCACACAGGACCCCGGAUAAGACAGGAAAAGUACUCCAGAUAUAACAAACUGACCCUAGCCCCCCGACACAAACUACUGCAGCAUAAAUACUGGAGACUGAGACAGGAGGUGUCAGGAGACGCUGUGGCCCCAUCCAAUGAUACCCCCGGACAGGGCAAACAGGAAGGAUAUAACCCCACCCACCUUGCCAAAGCACAGCCCCCACACCACUAGAGGGAUAUCUUCAACAACCAACUUACCAUCAUGAGAGAAGGUGGAGUAUAGCCCACAAAGAUCUCCGCCACAGCACAACCAAAGGAGGGGCACCAACCCAGACAGGAAGAUCACGUCAGUGACUCAACCCACUCAAGUUAUGCACCCCUCCUAGGGACGGCAUGAAAGAGCACCAGUAAGCCAGUGACUUAGCCCCUGUAAUAGGGUUAGAGGCAGAGAAUCCCAGUGGAGAGAGGGGAACCGGCCAGGCAGAGACAGCAAGGGCAGUUCGUUGCUUCAGAGCCUUUCCGUUCACCUUCACACUCCUGGGCCAGACUACACUCAAUCAUAUGACCCACUGAAGAGAGGAGUCUUCAGUAAAGACUUAAAGGUUGAGACCGAGUCUGCGUCUCUCACAUGGGGAGGCAGACCAUUCCAUAAAAAUGGAGCCCUAUAGGAGAAAGUCCUGCCUCCAGCUGUUUGCUUAGAAAUUUACACAAAUCAGACACGGACAUUAUUGUAUUAGCUCGGUUUUACGGCUCUUUCUUUAUUUUUUUAAACAAAGGGAAAAUAAUAGGUCCUCCAGCAUAUCAUCUUCUGUGCUCCGGGGUCUUGCUGUAUCCUGUGGGGAACAAAACUAAACUCCCUCUUUUAUCUCUUGUACUGAGCAUGACUAUACAGAAGUAACCUCUCUUCCCCAGUCCCCACCCCCAUAUGCUGCCCUUUUGGCAGCUUUGUGGUACUUGUCCAGCUGGUGAGCAAUCAGCCCCUUGAUUACUCACCAACCACAAUCAGCCCCAAUUAGUCCUGGCCGGAGAGCCCUUCGAGACCUGGCACGUCCAGCAGAGAGACCCAUCGCCGCGUGAUGUCGACUCCAUCUGUCACCAGGCCUCGACAAAUCUCCCCCUGGUGGCCAACCUGCGGUACGCCACAAUCCCUAAUCCCUAACUAGUUUUCUCUCCUCUCUGAACCUCUGCCUAUAUUCCAGACAUCAUCAUGAUCACCCACCCAUAUGCCACUGAGUCUGCUGUCCUGCACCUGAUGGUCAACGUACUGAAUACGCCCCAGACAGACAUGGAGGGGGAGGCCUACAAAACAGUUGUGGCGAACCUGUUUUGUUCUUUUGUAGUUUUGCAUAGUUUUCACUGUCAUUCACACACACAGAUUCACGCAUCAUGCCCUUUACAUACACCUUACAUUAUGAUACUUCCACACCUCAUUCCUUUUUCUUAGUUUAAAGUUAAUAGUUUUGUUUACAAUAAAGAACAUUUUUUAAUUGGCCUA